GAUGAACGCUGGCGGCGUGCCUAAUACAUGCCAGUCGAGCGAACAGACGAGGAGCUUGCUCCUCUGACGUUAGCGGCGGACGGGUGAGUAACACGUGGAUAACCUACCUAUAAGACUGGGAUAACUUCAGGAAACCGGAGCUAAUACCGGAUAAUAUAUUGAACCGCAUGGUUCAAUAGUGAAAGACGGUUUUGCUGUCACUUAUAGAUGGAUCCGCGCCGCAUUAGCUAGUUGGUAAGGUAACGGCUUACCAAGGCGACGAUGCGUAGCCGACCUGAGAGGGUGAUCGGCCACACUGGAACUGAGACACGGUCCAGACUCCUACGGGAGGCAGCAGUAGGGAAUCUUCCGCAAUGGGCGAAAGCCUGACGGAGCAACGCCGCGUGAGUGAUGAAGGUCUUCGGAUCGUAAAACUCUGUUAUUAGGGAAGAACAAAUGUGUAAGUAACUAUGCACGUCUUGACGGUACCUAAUCAGAAAGCCACGGCUAACUACGUG
This 497-nucleotide ribosomal RNA is filed under the name uncultured bacterium. RNAcentral describes it as "partial 16S ribosomal RNA". It matches the Rfam family "Bacterial small subunit ribosomal RNA", at positions 28 to 507 of the family's 1533-position model. The record is from RNAcentral.